Molecule: long non-coding RNA, 619 nt
Organism: Elaeis guineensis (African oil palm)
Lineage: Eukaryota; Viridiplantae; Streptophyta; Magnoliopsida; Arecales; Arecaceae
Source: RefSeq, a predicted model, not a curated record
CCUCCCCCACAACCAGCAAUCCCCUUUCCAUUGCCAUUCAUGCAACAGAAGCUUAGUUUCUCCUUCUCUCUCAGCUAUCCUUUUUUUCUUCUUAAAAAAAAAAAAGUUUGCCAUCGUUUUCUUGGAUCGAUUCAUGUAGUAGAUGUUGUGGGGUGCCUAAAUGAUGAGCACUCAUUGGAAGGGAUGCAUUCAAUCCAUAGAUUGGGUGUGAUGAUACUUACUUUCACUUGAAUAGGAAGAUCUGAUAGGCUCCUCUCCAUGAGGACAGGAAGAAAGAUAAAGGAUCAUUGGAGGCUUGCGAAAAUCUAUACUUUUUUGGCCGAUUUUAGAUUGCUGUCGGAAAUUUUGUUGCUGCACAGGGCUUUUUUUUUUUUUGCCUGCCUGCCCACCAAUAUUAUUUCCAGGUUUGGGGAAAACUGCGUUUUUGAUAACUUGAGGUGGGCAGGAGCAAGAGGGGAGGGUGUUUUUGAGAUUGUAGACACUAUAAAUUGGUCAUAACCAUAAGCUCCUAAGCCUUGGCAUUGUAAGAUGAAGGGAUAUUUGAAGCCUGUCAAUCAUGUAUGGAUUAAAUGGAUGGAACAUUUGAUGGAUAGCUCUGAUUUUAUUGGGUGAUUUUGGA